Non-coding RNA from Podarcis lilfordi (Lilford's wall lizard), 70 nucleotides. The record is from the annotation of a GenBank genome assembly. Lineage: Eukaryota; Metazoa; Chordata; Lepidosauria; Squamata; Lacertidae.
AUUCAUUCAUACAUAUACAUAUACAUAUAUAUAUAUAUAUAUGUGUGUGUGUGUGUGUGUGUGUGUGUAU